GCCAGUUUUGAAGCCCUUCCUCGCUUGUCUUAACAUGAAUUUGACUCAAAAAAUAUGCGAAAGAUGACAAUGAUUUUUCAUUUGACGACAAAAAUUUAAAAAUAAAAAGUACAAAAAGAACAGGAAAAGACAAUAGACAUUUUUUUUUCAAAGAUGUCAAAAACGAAAAUUUUAUCUGGGUGUGGCAACUGAUUCCAGUGAUUAUGACAUGAAUUUUGAAUUAAACAACCUGAUCUACCCAAACUAAUCACUAUCAACUUUAGCCCAGUCAUUGAAUUUGAAAUGGAGCCAUUCUUGAACAUUCUCCCUCUAGAUUACAAUCCUCCUUCAACUAGUGACACCCCAAUAGAUUUUCGCCAAAAAGACUAUCUCAUUUUCAUUGUUUUAUAAACUCACCAUCGCUUUAUGGUGUUCAUGAGGAUUUUUACUAAUAAGACUCUCAUUUUUUAUUGUUCUCAUAGUGCACUAUCGCCUUAUGGUGCCCAUGAGGAUUUUGACCCAUAAAACUCUCAUUUUUAUUAAACUCACAACUUACUAUCACCUUAUGGUACCUACAAUAUGAAACCUCAUCUACCCAUACUUUCUUAGCCUUGACAUUCUCAAAGAUUGAUCUGAAGGUCUUUCUUUGGUUGUAACUUGGAUUUUGGAUAGGGUAAGAAAGAAAGGACGACACGAGGCUAAAAAAUAUACAUGACAUUAGGUGAAACAUACAACUUUUGAAAUCGACUCUUAAGGAAAUAAAUUUUUGCCCCAAUUUUAUUUCAUACUGGGUAAAUUGAAUUUUUUACUUGGUUAGACCGUUCCCCAGAGUAGGUCUGCCUACGUAUCUUGUCAUAGCAAGAAUCAGGUCAAACGUAGUUCGGACAACUUUAGCCCUCUAAUUCAAUGUUUUAUGAUUAAAUUGAAUUUUAAGAUCUGGCUGAAAAUUCUGCUGGCAUGUCAAGCACUAGAAUCAACAUAAAAUGAAUUGAUGAAAAAAAAAAGACAAACAAACAAAUUUAAAAUAAGACAAAACAACAAGGGACACCACAUUUCAUUGAAAGAAAAAAUAGAAGGGUUUAAACAAAGACGACAAAUAAAAAAACAAGAUAGAUUCAAAACUACAACCUUGAAAUAAUUCAAAAAACAGAAAGAAAAAAAAAUAAAUUACUAAUCAUUUAUCCUAGAGAGGAGAGGAGUGACUUCCCAAUUGCUGAGCUUGUCAUCUUAGCCACUGGUUUGCAUAUCAACAUGACUAGAGCUUUUCUCACUGUCAAUAUUUUGCACCAUAAUUGAUUUAUCUUGAAUUAUCUUUUCAAUUUCUCUUUUCAAAUCCCGACAAUCUUCAAUACUAUGACCCUGAAUAUCAGAAUGAUACGCACAUCGUACAUAAGGAUCAAAAUUUUUUGAACGCCCAUUAGAAGUGUACCCAAGGAGAAGAGUGAUCAUGUCCCUUUGUACCAAUCUCUGGAAUAAUCUGACAUACAACUCUACAAUUGGUAUGAAACUAUCCCUCGACUUUUGCCUUAUUUCAUUGUUUGUCUUCCAAAUUUUGACUAGCAAAUCUCUGGCCUUGAUACAUGGCUCUAGCUUCGAUUGAAUCGUAGUAAAUGCCAACGCGUUUGUUGGGGUUCCUUAUAGUCAUGUUGAGGGCGAGAUCGUAGUAAAGGGUGUUGUUAGCAGUGGACAAAUCAAAUUGUGUCAACGUAGCAUCAGUCACGUAGAAUUUGACCUUGUUAGGACGUAGGACUUGCCAGAGGACUAACGCGAUGACUCCAAGGGCGAUGAGAAGGGUGAAGAUUAUUUGGCAGAUGCAAGUGCAGAGGCAGUUGAAGAGACAGCUACAUGGGUUGCAACUGCGACCACCACGGUUACGGUGGUAGGUUUUGGUUGGUGGCGGAAUAGAGGGGCCAUAAUAGGCUCCGUUCAAGUUAGGUUUUGGCAUAACUUAAUAAAAACAAGAAAUACACAAGAAUAUCUUGAACUUCUGUGUUUAUGAGGAUGAUGUAAUCACUUUUUCUGUAUAUGAUGGAGAUUGUGGAAUUAGUAAGCAAAAGCAAAUUAAAUAUAUAUAGAAGAAGAGGCCGUGUUUGAAAGACUCGGUAGUUUUUGUAUUUCUACCUUCUUAGAAAUUGUUCAGAUUUUGCCUAGCAAUUUCCUAAUCAAGAUUAUACGUCAUUGACUUGGUUUUUAGUCAAGACUUUUGUUAAGACUCCUACAUAUGCUAUAGAUGGGUACUUGAUCAAACUCUUAUGAUAAUCUUGUUGAGUUAGACCUUACAAGAUCGUCUCAUACCGAAUAUGAUGGCAUGUGCUUUCAGGUUUCCCUGAUCGAUGCCUCAUUGAGCUUCCUCUUCAGCCCAGGUGCAAGAAGUGACGAUAUUCCAAUUGGAGCUACUACACAAGGAAUUCUUUAUUGGCAGUUUUGGGGUUGGAAUUAGCGGAGAGGCAGUUAUGAAGAGCUGGUCUCAUCAUAGUCUAACUGUAGAUCCCGGGGAUGUAUAUUGAUCAUGAUGAGCCUCAAAAACACAAUACUGGGGGACAAGUUCGUACCCCAAAUAUACAUCAUUGACUGCAACGUAGUCAAGGCAAAAGAGAGAAUGCACAAGAAGGGUGAAAGCAUUCUCUGGCUAAACUAUUUUUCACUAAUUAACUAACAAAGAAGUUGACCUUAUUGUACCGAAUUCUAAAACUAGGAAGCUGCCAUUCAUCUAGCAUAAAUGAGCUUUUCGCAUUUGCAGGCAAAUUAUCAUACCUGUGAAAGUGAGUAGGAUGCUCUAUCGUGGUGGCUAGCUUGGCAAGGCAACCCGCUACCUUGUUACCCUCAGGAAGGCAGUGUGCAAAACUCAUAUCGGCAUCAGUAAUUCUCAGGAAAUCCAAUCUUGCCAUAUUAUACUCAUAUUGCAUUUCGUGGGUUGCGCUCAAACAUGCUGUUCUUUGGUAAUUUUAGCUUCAACGGUGAAUGAUUUAGAAUUCUCCACAUGCCGUUGCAUUGCCACAUAAACAAUGAAUCGUUGGGCUAGAUGAGCAACUUUCUAUCUCACCUCUGUAGCUGCAAUGGAACAAAGGCAAGGUGGACGUGUAAAAUUCAGAUGGUGGAUAAAUUUCACGCUCGAAAAAGCAAGAUCAAACUGUGCUCCAAUUCUUCAGAACGAGGAUGCUCAGUCUGAUGUAGAUGCAUAUCAUGACAUUUUUUUUGCGCCUCAAGUCUCCCGAUUUUGGCACAUAGAGAUGGCCUUUAACUCUUCAAAUACGAACAACUACAAAGAAUAUUCAUCCUUUUGUUUUUGUGAAGAGAACUAGUCUGCAAAAACGUUUCAAUGAAUAAUUUUUUUUAUAUUUCAUUUAAAAGGAUAAGCACGGGCGCACCUCACUAGUACUUUUAUAAGUGGUAAUAAACGUGGCUUACCACUUUUAAUUACUUCAAUGAGCGUAUAUGUUUAAAUUUGAUCUCAACCAAAUAUUGUUUUUAUCUAUCCUAUAUAAUAAAUCAUAAUAAGUUGCUC
This is a long non-coding RNA of Capsicum annuum, 3484 nucleotides long. RefSeq lists it as uncharacterized. The record is from RefSeq and is a predicted model, not a curated record. The transcript is spliced from 7 exons. NCBI's taxonomy places the organism in Eukaryota, Viridiplantae, Streptophyta, Magnoliopsida, Solanales, Solanaceae.